GUGAGUAGUUCAGAGUUUGAUCCUGGCUCAGAACGAACGCUGGCGGCGCGUCUUAAGCAUGCAAGUCGGACGGCAAGAAGAGAGCUUGCUCUCUUCCUAGAGUGGCGGACUGGUGAGUAACACGUGGGUGACGUACCCUUUAGCUGGGGAUAGCCGGUAGAAAUACCGGGUAAUACCGAAUAAUCUUGCUUCUUUGAUGUGAAGUAAGGAAAGGAGCUUCGGCUUCACUGAAGGAACGGCCCGCGCACUAUUAGCUAGUUGGUGAGGUAACGGCUCACCAAGGCAACGAUAGUUAUCCGGCCUAAGAGGGUGAACGGACACAUUGGGACUGAGAUACGGCCCAG
This 344-nucleotide ribosomal RNA is filed under the name uncultured bacterium. RNAcentral's name for it is "bacterial SSU rRNA". It matches the Rfam family "Bacterial small subunit ribosomal RNA", at positions 1 to 334 of the family's 1533-position model. The record is from RNAcentral.